GAAGUUAGCGGCGGACGGGUUAGUAACACGUGGGUAACCUGCCCAUAAGACUGGGAUAACUCCGGGAAACCGGGGCUAAUACCGGAUAACAUUUUGAACCGCAUGGUUCGAAAUUGAAAGGCGGCUUCGGCUGUCACUUAUGGAUGGACCCGCGUCGCAUUAGCUAGUUGGUGAGGUAACGGCUCACCAAGGCAACGAUGCGUAGCCGACCUGAGAGGGUGAUCGGCCACACUGGGACUGAGACACGGCCCAGACUCCUACGGGAGGCAGCAGUAGGGAAUCUUCCGCAAUGGACGAAAGUCUGACGGAGCAACGCCGCGUGAGUGAUGAAGGCUUUCGGGUCGUAAAACUCUGUUGUUAGGGAAGAACAAGUGCUAGUUGAAUAAGCUGGCACCUUGACGGUACCUAACCAGAAAGCCACGGCUAACUACGUGCCAGCAGCCGCGGUAAUACGUAGGUGGCAAGCGUUAUCCGGAAUUAUUGGGCGUAAAGCGCGCGCAGGUGGUUUCUUAAGUCUGAUGUGAAAGCCCACGGCUCAACCGUGGAGGGUCAUUGGAAACUGGGAGACUUGAGUGCAGAAGAGGAAAGUGGAAUUCCAUGUGUAGCGGUGAAAUGCGUAGAGAUAUGGAGGAACACCAGUGGCGAAGGCGACUUUCUGGUCUGUAACUGACA
This 672-nucleotide ribosomal RNA is filed under the name Bacillus sp. B8(2012b). Its description in RNAcentral is "bacterial SSU rRNA". It matches the Rfam family "Bacterial small subunit ribosomal RNA", at positions 88 to 745 of the family's 1533-position model. The record is from RNAcentral. Lineage: Bacteria; Bacillati; Bacillota; Bacilli; Caryophanales; Bacillaceae.